AUCUGAUUGUGGGUCCUAAGACCCUCAUUCCAGAGAGGGUCUUGCCUCAUACUCUGGAGGAGGGAACACUGCACAGAGAGGCUGAGAAGAAUCUGGACAGACAGGCCUUGCUGGGUUUAGGUCAGACCCUUUUUGUCCAAUCACAUUUCAACACAGUUCAACACGCUUCAGUCAUGCCUAUCCGAUGAAGUCUCCAUAAAAGGCCCAAGGGGACAGGGUUUAGUCAGCUUCCAGACAGCUGAACACACGGAGGUUCCUGGAGGGUGGCACACCUGGGGAGGGCAUGGAAGCUCCGCGCCACUUCCUCCAUACUUCCUCCUAAUCUCUUCAUCUUGGAUGAGAAACAACCCAACUCCUACUUCCAGCUCAAGGUUAACAAGCAAGAGGCAGCU
RNAcentral lists this long non-coding RNA (392 nucleotides) under Homo sapiens (human). Its description in RNAcentral is "HSALNT0221577". The record is from RNAcentral. Lineage: Eukaryota; Metazoa; Chordata; Mammalia; Primates; Hominidae.